This 328-nucleotide unclassified non-coding RNA is filed under the name soil metagenome. Its description in RNAcentral is "partial contains 5.8S ribosomal RNA, internal transcribed spacer 2, and large subunit ribosomal RNA". The stretch from base 1 to 120 matches the Rfam family "5.8S ribosomal RNA", at positions 35 to 154 of the family's 154-position model. The record is from RNAcentral.
GAUGAAGAACGUAGCGAAAUGCGAUACGUAAUGUGAAUUGCAGAAUUCAGUGAAUCAUCGAGUCUUUGAACGCACAUUGCGCCCCCUGGUAUUCCGGGGGGCAUGCCUGUCCGAGCGUCAUUAUCACCCCUCAAGCCUAGCUUGGUGUUGAGACCUGCUGUCAAGGCAGUCUCUAAAAUCAGUGGCAGUGCUGUCAGGCUCUAAGCGUAGUAAAUCCAUCGCUAUAGACACCUGGUGGCCACUCGCCAGAACCCCCCCAUUUUUUAAUGAUUGACCUCGGAUUAGGUAGGGAUACCCGCUGAACUUAAGCAUAUCAAUAAGCGGAGGA